GACGAACGCUGGCGGCGCGCUUAACACAUGCAAGUCGAACGGAAAGGCCUGCUUUCCCUUGUGGAUUGCGGGUACUCGAGUGGCGAACGGGUGAGUAACACGUGAGUGAUCUGCCCCCAACUUGGGUAUAAGCCUGGGAAACUGGGUCUAAUUCCCGAUAGGACUGCAGGGUGGUGCCUGUGGUGGAAAACGAUUUUCUAGUGGUUGGGGAUGAGCUCGCGGCCUAUCAGCUUGUUGGUGGGGUAAUGGCCUACCAAGGCGGCGACGGGUAGCCGGCCUGAGAGGGUGGACGGCCACAUUGGGACUGAGAUACGGCCCAGACUCCUACGGGAGGCAGCAGUGGGGAAUAUUGGACAAUGGGCGGAAGCCUGAUGCAGCGACGCCGCGUGGGGGAUGACGGCCUUCGGGUUGUAAACUCCUUUCGACCGCGAGGAAGCCACCUGGUUGGAAGGGUGGUGACGUUAGUGGUAGAAGAAGCACCGGCUAACUACGUG
Molecule: ribosomal RNA, 494 nt
Filed under: uncultured bacterium
Lineage: Bacteria
Description: partial 16S ribosomal RNA
Rfam family: Bacterial small subunit ribosomal RNA
Source: RNAcentral